Long non-coding RNA from Cyprinus carpio carpio, 7160 nucleotides. NCBI's taxonomy places the organism in Eukaryota, Metazoa, Chordata, Actinopteri, Cypriniformes, Cyprinidae. The record is from Ensembl.
UCCCAUUACUACUUUGGUGAGAAACUGCUGCAAACAAUUGUGUGUGUGUGUGAGUGAACUGUCUGAAUGAAUCAAACUGAACGGCAAACAAUUUCAGACUUUCUUGCAAACCUAUUUGACAGAUUAGAUUAAAAGAGUGAUUUAUUUGCAUAUCUGGGAUCACCAAUUUUGAGUCUAAACAGCUGAUAUAAAAUACACAACAUGAUUGCUAAAAUAUUUUCAAAUAAAUUUUCAUGUUUGUAUACAUCAAUCCCACUUACACAAGGAUUUAUCAGUAAUAUUUUACUGGGGCACAGUGGUAUUUCACUGGUGAUCAGUAAAAAGCUCUAGCAUAGCAGUUAUUUUAUUUAAUAUUUUUGAUCUUUUAUUUUGUUUUUUAUUUUUUUUGUUUUAUUUUACCUUUUUUAUUUUUUGUUUUAUUUUAUUAUUUUACUUUUAUUUUAUUAUCUUUUUAUUUUUUUAAGUUUAUAAUACUGGCCACAAUUUUAAUAUCAGAAAGUAACCACCACAUAAUGGUGAAUUUUUAAAAGGGCAUGAUUUGAUUUUUAUCUGGCUAUGAUAACAGGCAAAACAUCCCAUACCCUUUUUGUCAUAUCAGCUGUUUGCCACUUAUAUUGGACGUCUUUCUUUCUUUUUCUUUCUUUCUUUCUUUCUUUCUUUCUAGUGAAUUUUACAUGAGCAAGCACCACUGUUUUUCUUAAUAAUAUGUGUAAUUAUAUGCUUUGUUUAUCUUCAGCGGUGGGGAAUCCACUCUGAUUUCUUCUUUUAUUAGAGGCAUUUCUCGUCUGCUCCCACAUGAAAAAGCCCAGUGAGCAACAGAGCGCUGAAUAACACCUCUCUUAUACUGACUCAUCUGCUCCUCUCUAGAGCUUUCUUCACACUCUGAGGAUGAGAGAAAAAUAUUGAGGAUGUGAGCAAUCCCUUCACCUUUAAGAGUUAUCUUCAGAAUGGAGCUUGUUCUUUUUCUGAAGUUUCAGUCUCAGAAUCCAGUCCUGGAAUCAGUCACCCUGCCAGUGAGGAAUACAGUGAAGAGGCCGUCCUGGCACCGGACAGCAUGACCUUCAGAGGACUGGACUGAACUUGGACUGUGUUUAGGUAGCAUGAAGUAGAGAACAACCUCCUGCUGAAGCCAUGAGUCACUGCCAUCAACCUCAUUUAAACCAUAGCGCUGAUAUCACUGGAUAUGUUAAAUAGGUCAGGUGCACCUCUAUGUGCUACAUACUGCUCACAAAAGAAGACUGCAUCCAUGUGAAUUGGUGGUAAAUUGGUCUAAUUGUGGUAAAAGCUUAAGUCUUCAGAUAGGGGUCAACCAAGCAUUUUUGCAUAUAUACAGUAUGUAUACAUUAUAUACAUAUAUAUUUAUCAUAUAUUGUUAACAUACAUAACAGGCCUCCUUGCUCUGUUUGAAGGGUUUAAGCACAGAAUGCAGCGUGUAACCCCAGAUUGAACCCAGUAUGUAAUAAUAAAAUGCGUAUUAAUCUGUGAAUGCAUUUAAAAUCUAUGGAUAAUGUAAAGGUUUUAAUGCCCUUAUGUUUUAAUAAGGUGACUGUAGAUAUAUAGUGAGAUGGUUAAAGUGGGACUAGCUGUUACUCCUCUUGGGCUGAGGAUUUUCUCGUGGAUCUCCAGUAUAGCCCAGGUUAAUGGAAUUGCUUUAGAUCUGGUUUUGGGGAUUGAGAAGCCUCUGUUUAGAUUAAUGUGAGCGCCAGGGAUGACGGGAAAGCGGGAUGCUGCCAGUGCUCUCUAAUAACACUGUGAGGGGUGGGGGUCAAUGCAGGGCACGCCCAAUCUGGCUAGACUGUUUCAUCAGUGGAGUCUCUCAUAAUCCUCUUUCUCUGACUGCCACCGUGACCAUGUGACCGCCUGUGUAACAGAAACCAUGAAUCUCAGACAGCAGGGCAGCUAAAGGGCUUUAUGAAUUGUAAACAAACUUGCAUGCAUUAUGAAUGAUGAAAUAAAUCCAAAUCAGCAUGGCAGGGUAGACGUUACCCAAAUUUAAAGAACAGUUCUCUAAAUAUUUCCACCCUCUUGUUUAAAUGUCAUGCGCUUCCUCUUACAGUGAAGAGGUUGUGUAUCAGUUAUCCGUACCCUCAGCUGGAGGAAUCAAAUUAGACUGAAUUCCUUUGUAAAGUGGUCUCUCACCUCUAUCAUGGGACAUGUUGUACUUUAUUGUUUCUGGGUGGUCUUCUCUCAGAGGUCCUGUUUCUUAAUGUCAGCUUUCUCACAACCUUUUAGCAUUAAAUGUAGUAUUACAGGUUACACAUCCUUCAAGGGGUUCCCGGAUUCAACCGGCACAUGCAGCCUGUGCGUAUUUGUUUUGUGACGUGCACAUUAUGCAAAAAGACAAGCUGUUAUGUCAACAUUUCCUAAUUCUGUACAGUUAUAUCUUGCUUCUGAACUCAUUUGACACUCACAUCCUCUAGUUUUCCAGACAAUUUCUUUUUCUUAUCACUUUUUUCCUUUGAUUUCCCUCCCCCGUCGCUAACACUCUCUGUUCUUUAUCUAAGGGCAGCAGGCCAGGCCCACGUGUACCAGCUCUCUGAAGAAGGCCAGUUCAGUGGAAACUAGCAAGCAAACACUGAAAAGGACACACGCUCCCUCAAUGUCAGUAAAUAUUUGGUCACAACUUCAAAGGGAAGUGACAGUCGUUUAAAACUGGGGAUGAGGUUGGGUGCAAUUAGAGCAGGUGAAUGCGCAAGUUUGCAGUUUAAAAUCAAUGUGAUUGAUUCAUGGCCAUUUAUUCUGAGCUUUUUACUAAUAAUCAUGUACUGUCUUAGCUUUCAUAAGACCAACAUGGCAAGGUAUUUUUAGAGGCAGGCUGUGAUGUAAUGUAACAACAUGCUGCUGUCACCUGCAAGACCAGCUGUGCUGGUGGCUCAGAGAAAUGGACUAAUGAGGGUCCUGAAGAGAAUGUGAUGCAUUGAAUAAAGUGUAGUUAUAUAAAGAUGGAUUAUCAAUUAAGCAUUUUUUGCUUCUGUUCAGCUCUUCCUGUCCCUGAAGUGUUCUGAAAUCACCCCUCUAGAUCAUCCUCUGCAGACUGCAGUUUUUCCAUGGGUCAGAAAUAUUAUGAAAUAGAUGGUAAAAUAUAGAGGUGUGCAGCUUGUUCCUCCUAAAGGCUUAGUUAAUAAAGAACAGUACACCAAGCACAUUUGUUGUGUCUGUUGAUCGCAAUUACUGAAGUUUUUAUAUGCAUUAUUUGUCUGUAUUUGUCUUGUUGUACAUUUAGCUCUGACAUUUUGGCUUUUAAACGAAUAGUUCACCCAAAAUCAUUAUAUGCAGAUACAUAGGAUACAUAGAUACAUAGGCAAAGGAGGUCUCAGUAGAGAAAAAUCUUUGUCCUUUAAAAUCUUUUAUUUGUUUUAUACUUGAUUUAGGAUUAUUUUGUAACAUUGUUAGUUUCUGUACUAUUUCAAAGGAAAAGGAAUAAGUAUACAGGAAUUUAUACUUUCUAUAUAUCAAAAACAUCCUGGAAAAAAAAAAUCUUUUCCACUUUUUUCAUCAUUGAUAAUAUUCAGACUUGUUACAUGAGCAACAAAUUGGCAUAUUUGAAUGAUUUCUGAAGGAUCGUGUGGCAUAGAAGACUAGAGUAAUGAUGCUGAAAAUGUUCCACAAGUUGAUAUGAUUCUUUAGGGUCUUAAUGAAAAGUCUAUAACAUGCUUUGGUUAAAAUUUCUCAAUAGUAGUAUAAAACACAGUGUUUAACCGGUCAAAAACUGCUCUUUUCAGAGCAAGCCGUAUUGUUGCAUGUCGCUUUAAAUGCUAAUGAGCUCUGCUGACCCCACCCCUGUGCCGAGCAGACUGUAAACUUUAGCUGCAUUUUGCCACGAAACUUGCUAACUAGUACACAAAAGGUGAUGUCCAAAGAUUCAUAAAAAAAAUCCUCACUUCUACUGUAGAUGAAGCUCGGUCAGGAAUGAUUUGCGCGAACAUAGACGCAUUUAGGCAGGUCGGGGAUCGGCGCAUUCCUUUCAAAAAUGAAAGUAACGUUAAUCCUCUGCGUCUUCAGCGGCUCAGAUGUUGGGAGUAAAUGACGCCUGCUAUGUUCAUUAUUACAUCCAACAACAAAACACCUCAAUUGCUUAUUCGGAUAUGUUCUUGUCUUCCCCUGCACCGGAGUCGACACAAUGGCAGACAGCUCACAGCUCACUCAGGACAGCAUCCUGACAUUUUAUCCUACCCGUCAGAUUGUACUACCAGGGUUUACUGCGCAUGCACACAUCAAUAUUGCGUCCUUUUUCUCAUGCUAAACAACAGCAUUUAAUGUAUCUUCAUUGCUGUAAGUGUAGGUUUAGGGUUGGGAUAGGUAUAGACUUCAAUAAAAAUACCUAUCUAAUAGGUAGAAAAAAAUUAUUGUUGGUUUCCUGUAGCAGUAUCCCUUCUAGCUACAACCGCGAGUAUAACACAUAAUUACUGUAUUUGCAUUACUGUAAGGGUAGGUUAAGGGUUGUGGUAGGUGUAGACAUUAAUAAACCAUAACUUUACAGUAGGAUUUUUUGUUGUCGAAUUGUACUACCCACUGUUUCAAUGGGAGGUUUCCAAAUCUGACAGGGUAGCACAAAUCGACAGAACAGCAGGUCAAAGGUAAGAUGGCCUGGUCAAUCAACUAUUGUAGGAGGGGCAUUUGCAGAACUAUGUCACUCUGACAGGAAUCUCAGAACAGCCUGAUUUGAGAAAGGGAUUUAAAAAAAAACACUGGGUGGAUUUUUAUCAUUAUAGGGUGGAUGUGUACACACAUUUAUGUUCAAACAACAUCUAAAAGUGAAUUUUGCAUCCGAUGACCCCUUUAAGCCAUACCAUCGCAUGAAUUAUAUUUUAUUUAGAGACUUAUUUUACCAAAUUUUACUCACUCCAAACCUUUGAGCAUUAUUGUAUAUACAGUAGUACAAUAGAAAAACAAUUAGUGAACAAGAUGUGAAAUGUGAUUGCCAUUGCAUUGAACAAAAAUUGAUUUCCAGUGCAUUGUGAUUGGCCGAUCAAGCAAGCACUCGUCAGAAAUGUAACACCCCUUUCCAUAAUUGCGAGCUUCAUCUUUCAAAAUAAAUGUAGAGACAGAUAAUAAUGUCCUUAGUUUUACCAUCAGUUCAAGCCCGAAAGGGGAACAGAGUCGUGUGACAGACACAGUGAUGAAGCUUGUAUGUGCUUGCUGUACACAAGCCACGGACGGUUAAGACAGCUGACUCCACUGUAAUGUGACCCUGUCUCUCUCUCUCGUGCACACACACACACACAUAUACAACGUGCAAAACUCCGCAUUUGAACAGUCAAUAGCAAAUACUUAAACUAAUAACAAAAUAUACUUACAGUAGCUGAUUCAGAAGCACCAGAUUGUCAUAGCAUAGUCAGAAUUACCUCCUCUCCUAGGUUCACAAAACGGUCGUCCAUAAACUGCAUUUCUGUUCUGUUGUAAGUAAUCUUAAAGAUUCCUAAAUGCAUCUACUUUCAGAAGGCCAAAUAAAGUGAUUUACUUUCGCCUAGAAACACACAGCAUCUCCAUGAUGCACAGCAACACACUGACCUCCCUGGUUUUGAGACUUUAGUCUUUGCAAUUUCAGGGAUCUUAUCUAUGCACAAUCAGCUUGUAACACUCCAAAGAGAAAGGAAAACUUGAAAUCGCAUCAUAUGACCCCUUUAAUAAAGCCUCACAUCUUAUUAAUAUCAUGCUGGAAGCAAAAUCUGAUAGGUAGCACUUUUCGCUAUCGAAUUAUGCUACCCUCUGUUUUAAUGGGAGGUAGCAAAAUCUGGCAGGGUAGCACAAAUCGUCAGAACAUCAGUCCCGUUCCUCCCGACCACAGAUAAAGGUUUACAAGUCACUUUUUCCUGUGUUUUUCAAUCAAUUUCUUGACUUUUCCCCACUUAUGAACAACGCAUUUUCGUACAUGAUAAAAGCUCCUUGUGGUCUCUCGGUUUGGCCAAUUUAAGCAUCCAUAAACAAUGCAAAACACAUGCAUUUUGAGUUUCUGCUAGUGAUUCCCAUGGAGAAAAAUCACUUCCUGCCCUCCAUCUGCAUUUCGUGCAUCAUCAGUGACAUCAUGUGCAAACAACCUAUUGCAAAAUAUUUGCAAUCCAUAGUCAAGUUUUUGCUGAUGAGGGUUCAUCACAGGGUUAGCAAGGUGUCCGGCAGAGUCAGGACUUUGUCCUUUUUUUCUGGCAGCCUUGAUCCCUCUGGAUUGCUUGACAUUGCAUCAUUUAUCUGUAUCUGUUCCUGUGUGUUUAGUGUAGUGAAAGUGCGUCAGAGUGAGGGAAAGCAAGGAAAUCCCCUUCUGCCACGUGGGAUAUGAACAAAGACUCCAGUUUGCCUCAAACUUUCUCUCUUUUGCCUUGCAGCAGGAGAGGUCCCGCCACGCUCGACUGCCGGCAUUUACACUCCUCAGUCCUCUCUCACCGCAAACCUCCCCGUGGAGAUUGGCUCACUUUGUUUCCUCUAAGAUGAAUGUCUCUUUGAAACUCUUGUGGCAUUUGAGUGAACUGCAUUUAUAUUACAGGUUCCAGCUCUGUGGUGAUUCAUCGAAUGGGUACUACAGAGGAGUUUGCUGCAUCACAGAGCAAAUCUGUUAAGAUUCCUCAGAAACAUUUCUUUGACAUGACCAGCAAGUGUAUAUGAAUGAUGUCUCUUCAGAAAGAUCGGUUUACUGGUUCUCAAUUACUUUGUCUUUCUGUCCAUCCAUCACCUUAGUCUCACUUUCACAGUCUCUCCACCACUGUCUUUUCAUGUAGCGGUUUGUAUGAAUAAUAUAUGCCACGUUGCUUCGCCGUCAUUAAAGGUGACCUUGGUUAAUUAUUGAUUGGGUCAGAUGAUUACAGGCCUGACCUCUGUAUGUUCUCGUCUGCCUGUCGUCUCAGUUUUCAUGUUUACGCUCUUCCUCUUAUUCCUGGAGACCCUCAUAUGAUGAAUUACGGUCUAUUGUUAUUGCUGGGGGAGUGUUGGCGCCUUUACAGAGACAUGAAAUGUAAAAUUACAAAUGUAACCAUGAAUGUCAAGACUAUUACUUUGUUUUAAUGAAAUAUGUAAGAGGUAAUGUAUAGUCAGUUGGUCAUUAUCAUUAAAUAAACCCUGACAGGAUGAUCAGGUUCAGCCCCUGAAGGGGUUUAUUUUGUUACUGACCGACUGACUCUAAAAUGUCCUGCAUAUUACCUUGCUAUUGCCAAAUAAAUACAUAAAUGGAC